Cavia porcellus (domestic guinea pig) is the source of this 13760-nucleotide RNA transcript. It is a transcript of the gene named zinc finger protein 782, with no coding region annotated. The transcript is spliced from 7 exons. The record is from RefSeq and is a predicted model, not a curated record. Lineage: Eukaryota; Metazoa; Chordata; Mammalia; Rodentia; Caviidae.
GCGCGGGGUGCGGCCGGCAGGGGCCUGCUCGUGCCGCGGGGAAGGACCGGCGAGCUCCUGGGCUUCCUCCGCACCCGGCCUCGGCGAAUGCUCUGCGCUCUUGGCGCCCUUGGUGGGCGGAGGGACCCGGUUGCGCAUUCGGCCCCGCCUCCCUCGGAGCGAACCCGGAGCGGGCCGGGACCCGGCUGGGAUCCGGGAUCCUCCCCCUCGGGCAGGUGCAAUACAGUUGUGGACCCGUGAAGACCCAGAGCCAUGCUAGCUCAGGUCCAGGUCCCAGCUCUUUGAAACAAAGCAGCCAGUUCUUGUGAAGUAGGAAGCAGGGUCUUUUAUGCAAGGAGCUGUGGUUGGAAGAGAACACUUCUGUGGACUUAGACUUCUGUCUGACAUCCGGUGCAGAGAGAAAAGCCCAGAAAGCAGCAGAGAGAAGAGCCGGAACUUGCGUGGUUGGAAGCUGCUGUUGCUCUUUCUGCCCAGAAUGAGCUAGAUGUGGUGACAGUGCCAUCUCCAGAAGCCACCACAGACUGCAGCGGUAGAGAUUUCAGGCUUGUUUUGAGAUUAGCAAGGUUAUCUGGGGAGGCUUGGUGACUGGUUGCCCAGGAAAGACCACUUCAUCACGGGGCUUUGAGGCAGGCGUGCAGGAGAGCUUUCACAGCCCUCUACCCUGUGCCAAGGAGCCGCAGAAGAUGAAUACAACUCAGGCAUCCGUGUCCCUGGAGGACGUGACUGUGGAGUUCAGCCAGGAGGAGUGGCAGUGCAUGGGCCCUGCUCAGAGGACCCUGUACAGAGACGUGAUGCUGGAGAUCUACGGCCACCUUGCCUCCGUGGGGUACUGCUUUACAAAGCCAGAACUCAUCUCCACAUUGGAACAAGGAAAUGAUCCAUGGUUGUUGUUAGGUAAAGGGAAAGAAUGUCUAAGCAGGAAUUCCCCAGAAGACUACCAACCUGAUAAACUCUUAGAGAAGAGCCCAGAACAUCAGGACAAACAUUUGCGGCAAGUUGCAUUCACCAGCAGAUCACUGAUUACAGACCAAGAAACUUUCAGAAAACCACAUGAUUCAGACAUAGAUGUUUUACCUGCAAGGCUGGCACUUGGUCAGUGUGACCCUGCAGGGCUCGAGAACCGGGGUCUCGACUCAUUGGCCUCACACUCACAGUAUUCAGCAGAAAAGGCUGGUGAUCUUAGCUGCCCUGAAAGCUUGCUACUCAACAUUAAAGACUGCAGAAAGGGUACUGGAGAGAGAGACCGCAGUUGUAAAGUAGAACCUAUUCAGCAUCAGACAGUUCAGAAUUCAAGACAAGGUUUUAAAUAUAAUGGAAAUGAAAAAGCUUUCCUGGUAAAGGCUGCUGUUAAUCCAUCUCAGAGUGCCUUCCAAAAAGAGAAAUCUUGCACAUGUAAUAGGUUUGGGGAAAAUUUGCAUGACAAAUCAACUAUUGUCUGUCAGAGCACUUGUCCAGAUAAAAGUCACUGUGAGUUUCAUGGAAAUGGAAAUGGUUUCAGUAGGACUGCUCAGAAAACUGACCCAGCAGGAAAAUCUUUCACCCAGAAGUCACACGUCAGAAAACAGCAGAAAAUUCACAUCAAGAUAAAGCACUCUGAGAAUGGAAACAUCUCCAACCAAAAUUCAGCCCUCCUAACACGUCAGAGAACUCACCCAGCAGGUAGCACAGGUACAGAGACUGCUGGCUGCCCUUUGAAUUUUAGUGUACAUCACAGAACUCAUACAAAGGUGAAACCCUCUGAGUGUAGUGAACAUGGAAAAUCCUGCUCUAUGAAUUCACAUCUGAGACCACCUCAGAAAAACCUCACAGGAGAGAAACCUUACACAUGUCAUGAAUGUGGGAAAGCUUUCAGUGAGAAGUCACGUCUGAAAAAGCAUCACAGGACUCACACUGGAGAGAAGCCAUAUAAAUGUGACGAAUGUGAGAAAGCUUUCAGUGCAAAGUCAGGCCUAAGGAUACAUCAGAGAACUCACACUGGGGAGAAACCCUUUGAGUGUGUUGAAUGUGGGAAAUCUUUCAACUAUAAGUCAAUCCUUAUAGUACAUCAGAGGACGCACACAGGGGAGAAGCCUUUCGAGUGUGGUGAAUGUGGGAAAUCUUUCAGCCAUAUGUCAGGCUUAAGGAAUCAUCGGAGAACUCACACUGGGGAGAGACCAUAUAAAUGUGAUGAUUGUGGGAAAGCUUUCAAACUGAAAUCAGGCUUAAGAAAACACCAUAGAACACAUACCGGAGAGAAACCAUACAAGUGCAAUCAGUGUGGCAAAGGUUUUGGUCAGAAAUCACAACUUAGAGGUCAUCACAGAAUUCACACAGGAGAGAAACCCUAUAAAUGUAAUCAGUGUGGGGAAGCUUUUAGUCAGAAAUCAAACCUCAGGGUACAUCACAGAACUCAUACUGGGGAGAAACCUUACAAAUGUGAUGUAUGUGGCAAAACUUUCAGGCAGAAAUCAAAUCUCAGAGGACAUCAUAGAACUCACACAGGGGAAAAGCCCUAUGGAUGUCAAGAGUGUGGAAAGGCUUUUAGUGAGAAGUCAGUUCUCAGAAAGCAUCAGCGAACUCACACAGGUGAGAAGCCCUAUAAUUGUAACCAAUGUGGGGAAGCUUUCAGUCAGAAAUCUAACCUCAGAGUACACCAGAGAACUCACACAGGGGAGAGACCUUAUAAGUGCGAUAAAUGUGAGAAAACUUUCAGCCAGAAAUCAAACCUAAGAGAACACCAGAAGGCCCACACAGGAGUAAAUACAUGAAUGUAAAAAGUAUGGGAAAUGUAAGCAAGUCUUUCAGUCAGUGAAAAUAUUGUUGGCUAUCAAAAAACUCCAUAAAGAAGCACUUUAAAGAUAAUACAGAAAAUAACCUUGUGAAUCCAAUCCUCAGAAAACCUGUGCUGUAGAAAAUCUCUCUGAAAAUAAAAUAUGAAGAUUUUGUGUGAUCAAUCAAAAUUUGUUCUUCAAAGGAAUUGCAGUGAGAAAAAUCUAGAAAUGUGCUGAUUUAAUAUAGACUUUUAUACCACAGCACAAAGUACGUAAAGGGUAAAGAUCUGAGUGUAUACAGAAAGGAAGAAAUGAUGGAUGUGGAGAAAUCUAAUGUAAUUCAAUCUCAGUCUGACCUAUACAAAUGUGAGACCCGUAUAUAAUUACUGUUAAAGCACUUACCAUAAGCACUUUCUGUUCAUCCUGUGCUACACUUGGCCGAAGUUUCACAACCAGUCUGUUACCCAAAUGGAUCAUAAGGUUAAACUCUAUCUAACAGAAUGUUGGGAUCAGUUAUAAUGAGCCUUAUUAAAUGUAUCUCUCAAGUUUUCAGUAUCGUCUUCCAGUCCUCAUUGGAAUGGAAUGGAGAUUACUUCUGGUUCAUACCUUGAAUUCAAAAGCAUAUAAAAUGGUGAGAAAUAGUUUCAAAAACUGGCUGUGUGGAAUGAGUUCCCCCUCCAUGUGUAUUGCUGGGCUUUUUACAUCCAGAAAGUAAACUCCACUGAGCUUCUACAGGAUUUGGUGUGCUUCAUAUUAAAAACUCACUCUUACUGAAAACCUGUGACAGUUCUGUGGACAUCUGAACUCCUUGUAUAUCGGAAAAGUCAUCUGGAGAUGCUUCCAACAAUAUCUAUUUAUAGCUCCUCCUUGUCAGUCAGGUAACUCCUAGGGCUCAAAUCUAAUGUUUGAAUAUAUGGAGAGAAAAUCCUCACCAAAAGAUGGCAUCUUAUGUCUUAUAACUGAGUAUUGAAUGUGUAAGUUUCAACAAGUCAUCAAACUUCCUUAUUGCUCAGACGUACAAAGGAAAAGUAACAGUUUGAGAAAGGUGUGAUCAAAAGUACAGUGACUGCUGCUGUGAAGUGUCAUCUGAGGAAGAGUCGGGCCAUGCAACGUUAAGAUUCGUCUUCAUCCACCUUAUUCUCUGGAUCCGGCAUCCUGUUUCUGCAAAGGCAAAAUGACCAGGAAGGUAAAUGUUCUGAAUGGAUUCAGGACACGGAGGCAGCCACAGCAGCGCGGUGAAAAACACCACACUGUCAGAACUGUUUUAGGAAGUGGCAAGAGUGAUGAAUGAAUGUGUUCAAAGAAUAAAGGAAUUCUUUGAGGAGGGUCAGUUAUAGCAUGUCUUCUACUGUAAUGAUUUUUAUACAUUAGUGUCAUAAACCAUGUAGAAAAAGGUAACAUAGUUACAAUGAUACUUUUAUAUAAUUUCCCUUUAUGAGAGGUCCUUAAAUCCGCAUAAGGGUUUUGUUAUUAUCUAGUGUCUUUUAAACCUGAAGGACUCAGAAUUUCUUACAGAAAAUUUAGACAUAAUAAAUCCCUUCUGUUUUUAUUUAUCUUGCAUCAGCAAUCAGAAACACCAAAACAACACCCAGUAUUGAGAGGCAGAUUUGUUUAUGUCAGUGAUAAGUGAUUAGAAUCAUUCCCAGAAUAUCAGGCCCUGAUCUCUGGUGGUCUAGAGCUUGUAUGAGAUAAGCAAUCAGGAAGUACAGAGAAAAAUGGGUUAUCAGUCGGAUUGGUUCUGACAACAUGCAUCGUGGUGACAGGUGUGCAUCACAGUGACCAACAGUUUCUAGGAGACAGAAGCCACUGGAACAGGAACUGUUAACUGGGCAGCUGAGAAACUGAAGUAUCCUGGAUGGGACGGGGCAUAUUUUCUGUACAGUCUGAGAAUGCUUCCUAAUUUUUGAAAAUCAGUUUUGCUAAGUAUAGGAUUUUUUUUUUUUUUUGUCUUUUAUCGGUACUGGGGAUCGAACUCACAACCACACACUUGCAAGGCAGGAGCUUAUGCCGCUGAGCUAAAUCCCCACCCCAUAAGAUUUUUUAAAUUGCUUUUAUUUAUUUAAGGUGUGCAAUGUGAUGUUUGGUAUCAAUUUUGGUGGGUCAUCCCCUCAUAAAUCCAUCGUAAGUGGGGUUUACUGUAAGUUCCAAAUGUGUUUGAUCCAUUCAUGGUUUAGUCUAGGCUACAUUAAAUGUGUUCAGAAUACUUCCAUUAGCCCCUAGCAGGGCACAAGGAUCUAACACAGCCUAUUUUAUAAUAGUGUUGAGUAUCUUAUGUAAUUCAUUAAAGAUAUGGAAGAAAAUGAAAAUAUAAAGCACACUGCUCUGAACACACUGGCAGCACUUCAGGCUGUAAAGUAUCAGUGUUUAUGCUUGUGUGUGGCUGACUGACAGCUGCAGUUUCCUCCUGUAUAAUGUGUUGCAUAAAUGUGUCCUGCACAGGCCCCUGGCCUAGAAGUAGACCAAAAUUCCAAAUUUAGGGUGUAAUUUCUACUGAAUGUGUGUGGCAUUUACAUAGCCAUAAAGUAAAAAUAUCCUUAGUUAAACCAUCGUAAGUUGGAAACUAUUUGUACUUACAUGUUGUGUAAGGGUAUAUAGUCAAGCAAAUUAAUGUACAUUUUUUUUCAGUAAGAACACUCAAAUUUUACACUCUGCAAAACUUCCAAAUACAAUGUUAUUGACUGUUUUUAGUUGUUUGUGCUUGUUGCUGAGACAAAAUACCUGACACCCAAAUGUAAAGGAAGAAAUGUUUGUUUAGCUCAGUUUGUAGAGAUUUCAGUCCAUAAAUAGGUGGUUGCACAUGGCAGAGUGGCAACAGUUCAUGGCUAUGGAAUACAGCAAAAGCAACAAGAGAGGAGGGAUGAGCCUCUAUCUGUGCCUUGUAUUGUAUCCAGUCUACCUGGACUAGGGUGAUACCAAUCCAAUCAAUGGUCAGAGCCAGUGAUCACCCACUCUUAGUCCCAGCACACUUAAUCCAAAUAUUGAAUCCUGAAUCAAUCACAAACUCUGAUUCAGCUAUCUCCAAAAGAGUCCCAUCUAAAACUGCAGGAGGUUGUGGGGAACAUCUCGACACAAACCAUAAUAUUGAUUUAGUCCUAUUGCACACGUAGAUCUCUUGAUUUAUUCAUCUAGGACAUAUUCAGAAGCUCUGCCAGAAUCUGCCUUUUAGGUAACAAGAUAGGCUGGCAAUAGUUUUUUCUUCCAAAGACCAAAGUGAAAUUUUGGAAGACGAAAAUAAAAACGGAAAACAAAAGAAGGCAUAAAUAAAUAAAUAAAUAUAAAGGCGGAGCGAGCACAAAGCCUUGUGGGAAAUGUAGUCCCACUGGGAGCAGGAGGCCUCAUUGCUUGGCCUCACCUGGCUGACCCCCUUACCCCAUCUCCACCUGCCUUCUCCUGGGUCCCCAGCACCCUGUGUUCAGGGCUGAGGUAAAUGAGGGCAAGGAAACCCUGCCUCUGCUAGCAAUGUGCCAGGGCGGGGUGCAAGACCAGAAUGCAGCGGAACCCUGAGACCUUGGUUGGGUGUUCGAGGCAUCCGCCAGGGGAGGGGUAUGUGAUUCACUGACCAGGAACCUGCAAGCAGGCCCGAGACUCCGGUAUCUCCUCAGCACAGGAGUCCUUAGGUAGGGCAGCGUCGCGGCCUGGUGUGGAGAGGGCACAUCCUCCAGACAGCGCUCAGCCCCGGGCUGCCCAGAAGCCUGGGGGGGGGGGGGGUCGGCUCCUCUCGUGCUAGGAAGAUGCUUUUUCUUUUCGCCUGUAUUUCAUGCAAUCCUCACAAGCAUCCUAGUUACAGUUACAGCUGUGUGGUUACAAGAAGAAUGAGGGUUAAAACGGCAGGCUCAGUGUCACAAAGGAACCCCAGAUAGCAGUACAGAUGCGCUGCACUGCCCAGGUCAGGCAGGGGGAAGCUUGUGAAGUCAGAGGUCUGACUUGGGUCUGCUGCUGAUGGCAGGGCCCCUGGGUUGGUUUGAAGCUCUUGUCACCUCUGCAUUGUCCGGAAGACAUCGCCUGAUAACUCUGCGGCACCACUGUCUCAUGGAAACAGAAUGUGACUCAAGUGUGAUAUUUAAUGUUAUAGCAACUGCAUGAAAAACUGAAAAAGUUACAGAAGUAACUUAGAGGACAUACUGUGUGCUCUCAGUUUAUGCAAAUGUUAUUUCAGGGUGGGACACCAGUCCCAUUUCCAGUGUGAGCAGUUCUGGUGAGUUCUAACAGAAUCAGGUUACAGGCCCUGCAUCCGUGGUUCUCAGUCAGGGUGAUUAGGUUCCGAAAGGACUGUGGAAACGUGUGUGACCAUUUUUCAUAACUGAGAGGAGGGCUUAGCAUCUAUGGGUUGCCCACCGAAGCUCCUGGGUGCACAGGACAUGCCCCACAACAAAGAAUUAUGCAACUGCCAAUUAUCAUUAGUGCCCAGGUAGAGAACACUGCUCUCCUAUGUGUCAGCUAAAGUAAGUUUGUUCCCCAGGCCUGAGUCCUGACUGUUCGGGAACAGAGCAGUUCUGGCUGAAGCAGCUUAAGAGAAAAUCCCACAUGUAAGAAGAGGCCUGUGAGAGAGGCCGCCUCACCAGAUGCAGAAGAACCCAGAGAGAACCAGGGAACUGGCUGGGGUGGGGUCCUGAUUUGCCCCAGAAGUAGUGGGUCAGCCCCCAGCCUAGAGAGAGCCAGGCUUGAUGUCUCCACAUCCAGAAGCCAUCUCCACUGUGUGACACUGAGCUGGCCUGCAAACCAGGCCGCAGAAGGAGGUGAGCCGUGGUGGAGAGGAGUGGGUGACCAUCAAGAAGAAAAAUCCACUUUCUUGGUAGGCUCUUCUCCGUGGUCUCCGAGGAGGGCAUGGCCAUCAGGAUGAGGACAUUUCCUCGCCGUUCUCCUCACGUAGCCCCUUUUCCUUCUGUCUUCCCUCCCACCUCCUGAUCCAUGCCUUUGACUUGGGUGACCUGAGCCUGUAGAAUCACGGAAUGGUAAUACAAGGCAGGAGUUUGCUCCUGAUUGCUUCGAAACCUUAAAAAAUGGGCAGGAGAUAACGAUUUGCCCGUGGUCUCCUGGGACACGCCAAGCAGCAGAGUAGUCCUGUUUCUUCAUACAGGUGAGUCCCUAAGUGCAUUUGAACAACUGCCCCUAUGUAUUAAAUAUCCUGUUUAUAAACUUCCCUUUUGAAAUUUUUCUAUUGAUUUUUUUCAUGUGUGAAUUGUAGGGUAUUAAGAUGAAUGUUUGUGAUUUCUUUUCAGACUUUUAAAGAAACUUUUAAAAUAAAUUAGUAAAAAAAUAAUUGCAGUCACAUAAGGUUAUGUCCGCGUGAUCAUAUUACAGCCGUACAUAUUUGGAAUGUUCUCAAGGGGUUCUCAAGGGUCCGGUACAUUUCUCCUUAGGGGACUCCUCCCCUGCAGGUGCAGUGCGGUGUCAGGCAGAGGGGUAUGCAAGCCGAGGACACCUUUCACCUCUCUGUCCUCAGCGUAUCCUUCUCAGUUCUCUGCACUCUUCCAUGAGCAGCAGAAAAAGAACACAUCUCAGGUGAGUUAUUUCUUGGCAUGCUUUGGUGUCGUGGAUUUUAGAAGGAGGGAAGAGAAUCAUCCAGGUGGUUUCUGUUGCUGGGCUGAUGAAUGCCUGGCUGCACUGUGUUGUUCUUUUCCUGCUUCUCUGGAUUCAGCGGGUCGUGCUCCAGUUAACACCUUUAGGUCUGCAUUAGGGAGAGACACUGUCCUGUACCUUUUCUUUGAUGGAGUAUCUUGUAUGGUUUUGACAUCAACUUUAUGCUCUCACAAGCUUAGUUGGGAAGUGGUUAUUCAUUUUCUAUCUCAGUAUUUGAAGAUUACUGUUAUUUCUUCUUUCUGUAUUUAGAAAAAUAUACCUAUGGAGCAAUCUGGCCUUGGUUUAUUCUUGUGGCUGGUUUUUACUUAUGAAUUAGACUCUUUAAUAGGUUAUAGAGAACCAAAAUAAUCCUAUUUCUUCCAGCAUCCUUUUUAAAAAAACACAUUUUGUAGAGGAAUUCAUAUGACUAUAUAAUUUAUACAUUUGAAGUAUACAAUUCAGUAAUUUUCAGUAUCUUCACAGAGAUAUGUAACCAUUGCCAAGUUCAUUCUCAAAACUUCAGAAAGAUACUCUGUAUCUUUCCCUGUUACUCCCCUCCUGGACAUAGUUGACCCCAGUACCAGAUAAGCUGCAUUGUGUCUUUAUACAGUUGCCUCUUCUGGACACUGCUAAUAAAUGAACUGAUACAUGUUUUGUAAUAGUUUCUUUCCUUUUGCAUACAGUUUGCAAGGUUCAUGCAUCUUCUAGUAUAUAAUGGGUAUGGCUUCUUUUUAUAACAAUACUCCAUCAUGUGACUGUACAUUUUUUUAGCCAUUCAUCCAGUGAUGAAGAUUAGGUUGUUUCUGUCUUUUGGAUCAUAAGAAUAAUGUUCUUGUUAACAGACAUGUGCAAAGUUUUAGGUAGACGUAUUUUUAUCUCUGUUGGGAACAAUCUAGGAGUGGUAUUUCAGAGUCAUGUGGUACUCUAUGUUUAUAUUCUUCAGUAACUGCCGCCCUGUUUUCCAUAGCAGCUGUACCAUUUUACAUUCCAGCUAGCGGUGGUGUGUUAGGGCUUCACUUUCUUCACAUUAUUGUCACCACUGGUUAUUUUUCUUUUUUAAAAAAUGUUGGUUAUCCUUAUAGCUAUGAAAUGAAUCUUAUUUGGGAUUUGAUUUGCAUUUCCCUGAUGAUUAAUGAUAUUAAAAAAUUUUUUGCAUGUGUGGUAACUGGCUAUGUGUUAAUCAUUUUUGAAGAUGCUAUCCAAUGUAUUGUUUUUCUUUUUACUGUCAUGAUAGUUUUUUUAUAGUAUCCUUUGAUACAAAAGCUUUUAAUCUUGAUGAAGUCAAAUUUAUUGUUUUCUUUGAUUUGUUGUGCUUUUGAUGGCAUAUCUAGAAAGCCACUGUCCAAUGCAUGGACAUGAUGUCUUAUUUUUUAUUUCUUCUAAGAUUACAUAGCUUAAAAAAAAUUUCAUAGCUUAAGUUUAUAUUAAGGUCUUUGAAGUAUUUUGAGACAAUUUUUUAAUAUAGCAACUUUUUUCUUUUGCAUGUGGCAGCCCAAUUAUCUUAGUAAUACUUGUUGAAGACUAUUUUUCCUUUAUUGAAUGAUUAAUAUAGUUUUAUUUUGUGAUUCUAAAUUUCUCUAGAUUUAAAUUUUUUUAUGCCAGUAUUGCAUUUUUUUAUUCUGGCAGGGGACAGUUCUGGAGAUUUCAGACUAGGCUUCUGUCUUAGUUACUUUUCUCUUAUCACUGAGACAAAAUACCUGACACUCAAAAUUAAGGAAAGAAAGGUUUAUUUAGCUUACAGUUUGUAGAGGUUUCAGUCAGUAAUUAGCUGACUCUAAGAUAGGGUGGCAUGGCACAGGGACAACAGUUCUAGGCAGCAGAAGAUACCAAAAGAAGCAAGAGAAAAAAUAUGGCAGGAGCAGGUGCUUUUCCUUUCUUAUAUAGUAAGCAGACUACAGGGCAGGUUAGCACUCUACCUUGGUGUACUCCUGAUGUUCACGAAGUGAGGAUCCUGGGCCCCUGCUGAGUCCUUUAGUUAUACUUCUAAGCUUUUCAACUUGAUACAAUGUAUCACCCAUUAUAGCUAGCUUCCUAGCCUUUUUAUUUUUUAUUUAGAGACAAGUUCUGAGUAAUCCAGGCUCAAACUCACAAUUCUCCUGCUUUAGCUUCCCAGAAUCCUGGGAUUACAGGGCUACACUCUUACACCUGACAUCUUAGUUAAUAUUAUUAUUGAUCAGAAACUAUGAACAAAUGGCCAGUGAUUCCACAAGUAAUGUCUGAGUGAAGCUCCAGCGUUUUCUCCAUGAAGCGUCUAACAUCCUUCACACACUUAAAAACACAACACAGCACUUCAGUGCACACAGCAUACAGAGCCCAUUUAAAAAGGAGAAUCGUGGAGAUAAAGCACAGAAAUGCAGAAAAGCAAGGUACUGAGUAAAAUGAGAAAAGGACACUUGUUUACGUAUCAGCGCUGAAAUGCAAAGCAGAGCAUCACUUUGUUCAGCCUGGGCUGGGAAUGUUCAUGUCAGGUCGUUCACACUUUGUGUAAUAUUCCUUUUCAGUCUGUCUAUAUCCGGGUUUAUAAAAUGGGCUUUAUUUGUUAUUUUGUAAGGUGUGUUUUAUUUUUAUGUUUUGGUCUUUUCUUAAAUUGGAUUGUUUAGUACCGAGGUUAGCAACUUUCCUUUGUCGUUGGUUGUGCAGUAAAUGGGUUCAGCAGGGCUCUGAUGACUUCUCAAUGCUGCCCUCUCAACACUCCAUAGACAUGGAGGCUGAGGCAGGAAGAUCACUGAGUCCAGUCCCGCUCAGGUAUAGCUCACUUCGAAGUUCUAUGCAUCAAUCCCUGGUCUUGGUUCUUGCUUCCCACUCAAAAAAACAAAAACAAAAAAAAGAAACAACCCCCCAAAACAAAAAACAAAAACCCAUACACAAUGCAAAAUGAUGAAUGUGACUGACAGACCAUAAUUUGCCAAGUACAUUUAUUGUAGUCUGCUUGACGGUAGGAAAAAAAUGUACAAGGAUUAUGUACAUGCUUUGGCUACAAAAAUAAAAUUCAAAAAUCAAGGUGUUACUAGUAUUCAUAGUUCAUGUAUAUACUCAUAAAUAUUGACCAAUUAUUAUACAUGUUUUAAUAUGUGAGUACCUGCAAAGUGUAUCAUAUCCAGAAUUGACUUUCUAUUCACUUGUUUUAAAUUCUUUAUAGUAAAUAUAGUAAGAAUGUUUUCAGAGUGUUUCCUCUGUCCACUUGUAAUUCCUGACAGAUGAGUGUGGUACCUGGAGGACGUGACUGUGGGGCUCAGCCAGGAGGAGUGGUGGCACAUGGGCCCUGCUCAGAGGACCCUGUAUGCCACCUCGCCUCCCUGGGUGAGCCUCUGAACCACAUUUACCCUGGCAAGUCCAUACAGUAGACUUCUUCUUCACAGAGGCUGAGGCUUGUGAACAAUUGAAAAGUUUCGUGUUACUUCGGCUUUUCAUUCAGGAGAGUAAAGUUACUAAACCCUAUUGCUCCCUAUGGUGAAUUCAAGCCAGGACCUGCAUAGUGCUGUACCUGAUGCCUUUUUCUACUUGGAGAUCAAAAGCUAAUGUGUCUGGCCUGAGCCCUCACCUGCAGCGUCCAGUGUAACUCUUGAAAUUUUCGGGGUGCAAGGCAGUGGAGGUUGAAGAGAUAAAGGCAAGUCAGAAUGCAGAAAGCCAAGGUCAGGUGGAACCUUCUCUCUUGAUGGAAAAAAAUAACCUGCUUAACAACCUCUGACCUCCAAGUGUUUUUAUUUAUACACUCAGCAGAUUCAUAUCACCUGACAGCCCUUUGCCCAGCAACCCAUUUGUUUGGACUGCCUCGGGCUCUGCGUGUUUUCAGAGCUGGUACAGCUUGUUCAUGUGGCUCAUCUUGGGCUGUGUUCAGGCUGAAGCUGAUUGAUCUCCAGCUUCUGCCACUCCCCACACUCACCUGUUCUCUGUUAUCAAUAUACUGCAUUUUCAGACCAGACUUGAUCUUCAGGUUGCAGCAAAGGGAAGCAUCUUGGUUCUCAGAUGAGAAACUCUCAAACCAGAGUCACCCAGGUGAGCUGCUGAGCAGUAGCCGAACUCUGUGGGAGCAGACUCCAAAUGAUCACUUUAGGGCUUAAAACCUUUCAGUUGCAAGAUGUUUUUGAAAAGACAAAAGCUACAGAAAUACCAGUCAAAUGGAAAUGAUUUAACAAAUACGAUUCCAUUAAAAAUUUAACUUUUGUUUAUAAGAGAAAAUAUUUAAAAUAAUGAAAAGCCAUAAAGUGGAAAAAAAGGUAUAUAGUACAAGUAAUUUAGAAAGGAACAACUAACCUGAAAAAGUAAGGAAUUUCUAUAUGUCAGUGUAGGAAAAGAUGAAUGACCUCACUGAAAAAUGGGCAGAAAAAUUCGAACUUUCUACAAGGCCAGUAAAUCUGAAAAUGCAUUCAGUUACAUUAGUUUUCAUAGAAUGCAAAAUAAAAUUCAAAGUAAAAUUAUAGAUAUGAUGUGAAAUCAGUGUUAACAAAUGCCAAGUUCUAAUGAGGACUUGGGUUAUUGGACGUCAUAUCCACAGAUGGAAAUUAAACAUGUGAAAACUCUGUGAAAUGAGUUAUUCUUGUGACAAGGCAAGAGCUUUCCUAACUAUAUAUCCUUCAAAAUCUGUAAGUAGAUUCUCUGGAGUCCAUAACCAUAUUGAUGGGUAAAUUCUUUGCAUUUGCCAGACAUUAAUGUAAUCAACAGCAGAAUGGAGAGUUGUAUUCUUUAAAGGAGAAUGAUACAGCCACAUAAAAUUUUGUACAAUUAUAAACAUAAUAAUAAACAAAAAAUACAGAUAUGUGUUACUGAUUACAUUUACAUAAAGGUCAUAACAGCCAAAACUGAGCUAUAUUUUUAGGGAUUCAUAUAUUAGUAGUCCCCAUAACAUACAUUAGUAUUUCCCUUAAAACAGGACCUAAGCUGAAAAUAAGCCCUAGUAUGAUUUUUCAAGAAGCUCUUAAUAUAACCCCUUACCUCCAAAAUAAGCCCCAGUUAAGAUGGUCAGCUAGACAAAUGCAUUCAAGAUGUCCAUUGGAAUACAUGAUGAACUUACUGAAUUAGAAAAUAUUACAAUGUAACUAUAAAUAGUACUGACAAUAUUUAUAAAAUAUUUAUAAAAAUGUAUGAGUUUGUUAAUAGGGGCAAAAAAAUUUUUAAAAUGUAAAUAUAAUUAAUGCUUAAUUGUAAUUUAGAUAAUAUAUGUUAUAAUUUAGAUAAUAUGUUAGAUCAUUUAGAUAAUAUAAAUUAUAAUAAAGUUUUUGUAAAUACCUAAACAAGUGCCUUUGCAGGAGAGGUAAAUGCCCAUGUAAACAAACCAACUCGAGACUUAAGUGUUGAAUGAUUACUCAUAGUACAGAUACAACUCAAGAAUAAUGUGUGUGUAGUUGGUACUGAAGACAUGAUUGUGUCUCAUAUCAAUUUGCAUAAUACAAUGUGUGUUGUAAUGGAUGUACUUAAUGUGCUUGUGUGAAAUAAAGGUUUUCUGUAAUUUGA